Molecule: ribosomal RNA, 119 nt
Filed under: Frullania hamata
Lineage: Eukaryota; Viridiplantae; Streptophyta; Jungermanniopsida; Porellales; Frullaniaceae
Description: partial 26S ribosomal RNA
Rfam family: Eukaryotic large subunit ribosomal RNA
Source: RNAcentral
UUGGACCUCAGAUCAGGCAAGAUCACCCGCUGAGUUUAAGCAUAUCACUAAGCGGAGGAAAAGAAACUAACAAGGAUUUCCUUAGUAACGGCGAGCGAACCGGAAGUAGCCCAGCUUGA